AGACAGACUUUUCCACCGCGGUGAAAAAUCAUCUUUGUAUGAUUUGUUGUUCCUGCGCAUGGACCCAGAUGGCAGUGUAGCAGUCAGCGCAGACAUGGGGGAAGGAGCAGAGGCCCGAAUAGACGAGGUGGACAUGUCAGAACUUUUCGAACAUCUACAGACAUCUGCUUUAACUGUGGUCACUCUGGACACUGGGCCAGGGACUGUUUCGCAUCAGCAAGCCAGCCUGGCAUUGAGUCACCAAAUCCUGGCAUGAAGUCCCAAUACGUCCUCACCUCCAGAAGGUCAGUACCCCAGCAAGGGGAUAACGCUCCCAUGAACAAUAUUUCCGCACCCUGGAAAAGUGGCCAACGCUCAUGAACAGCGCAGAUCUCAAGCUGUCAGGGGGUCAAGGGAAGUGACUAUGAAUUUUUGCGCACAUUGGAGCCACCUGUUUCAUCAGACUCUGAGUUGUGAAAAGGGGACUUUGUCACUGAGGUGCUCGCAGAGACAUUACAGUGAUCAGCUCCUGCAACACUGGGGAAGAAAUGUGGAGUGUCACACAUGAAAGCCAUGAAUACGACGUCUUAACUCCGAUCUCAUGUCUGCCUGAAUCUGUUGCAUGUCAGUCCAAGUCCAUCUCAGGUGCCGCAGCCUGGUAUCAAACAUUUUUAAGGUAAUUCAGACAAUUAUUAUUAGCCAUAUACUACUGAACAAAUUUAAUGGCAUGUGAUAUUGGAUGACAUAUGUUCUCAUAUUUUUAUGUCUUGAGCUCCUAGGCAAACGAUCUGGAGCUGGUUAACACUUUCUAAAGGCAGCCGCUUGAGCAUACCCCAGCGCACAGGUUUGCGAUUUUAAAAAUAUAGUGAUGUCUAUUUACUUUUCUGUUAUAUAACUGAUAGGUCCUUUUAAACAUGAGUUUUAACCGUGUAGAUCACCAUUAAACAGCAGCAGGUGUUUUUUACUAUAUAUUCUAUGGGCAGACAAUCCACUGGGGUGGGAAUACUUUCACGUGCUCCACUUAUACUUUGGUUUCUGUGAGUUCUGGUUAAAAACUGCAUGUCAUAAAUUUCCGCAAGGGGGUAUGCGAACGUCCUGAGGAAACAGGUUUAUAGUGUUUUUCUGGAAUGCAGAGUGGGUGCCCUGGUGUCUACAUCCUGUGUUUUCACAAGAUACCAGGGACACAUGUUAGGUUACACAGCUGUGUUAGGUUAUUUCUUAAUAGCUCACACGUAUUGAGAUUUUUCUAUUUGUACAUAUAACUGUUGGCUGCUAAAACAUAUCAGAUUUUCACCAGAAUUUGCUACGUACUACCAGGUGUUUUAUUAUAACUUCGAACAUUCAGCUUUCUCACAAAACUGAAUUGCUGUGUGUCACGGAGACCAUAAACUCCUAGUUAUUAUUUCACUUCAAUACACUCAACUUAUGCAACUUCUGCCUGCUUCAAUUCAGAUAAUUAUUUGCAGUUAAUUGAUUCCCUGUGAUGACUAAUACUAUUCUUUGUUAAUUAUUUGUAACAAAAUUAAUUUUGUUCCAAGCAGAGGGAUAUGACAUAAACAUUUAUAUGAUGACACUGUAUCGUAAAGUUAUAUAGAUCUUAAACUUUAUAUCAACCCUUGGCACAAGUAAUUUGGACGAAGGGUUCUUGUGCAGGACCCCACGGAGGUAUGUAACUGCGUUGUAAAUCAGAUAACGGUUGUUUAAAAAAAAGAAAACCCCCCACAAAAGACCUUACCCAUGGCUCUCUGAAUGUUUGUUCAAUCAACUCCUAAGACACAGGCCGGAACCAUACAUUAGAUUUAAUGGGCAAGUGUCAGACACCACGUAUCUGCUAGAGACAGAUUCUAUGAGGGGGGUUCUUGGAAAAAGGCUUAAACAGUUUAAGAAGGACAAUAAAGUGAAUGUUAAAUGAAAUAGAAAAACUAUAUGAACUAGAAAAAACUGGAUAAAACAGAGAUAAACAGAGGGUAACUUAAUGCAUAUUUGGUGUAGUUUAAAAUCAUUGGUGUGUCAGGUAGGUUAGUUAAGGUUUCAAAGCCACGUAUAUCUGUUAAGUUAACUGGAUCAGGAUUUAUAACAACUAGAUAGAACGAUAAGUAACAAAAUAGGGGUUUGGUACAAAACAGUGCACAUCAAAUGAUGCAAAAAGGUGGAUGCAGGACUUUUUGACAUGAGGAUGACAUCUAUUGAAGGUAAACUAAGCGAGGAAUUCAUUGCAGGAUGACUUUAAAAGUGCUGUAAAAUGACCGGAUGAAGGUUUGCAUUUUCUAUAGGAUUAAAACAGGAAUUUUUUGCAGCACACAGAGUGGACAUCUGAAAUAAUAAUAGAGAUUACAGAAACGGUGUGUGAAGUGGUGCAAUCUAUGGCAAUUUUUGAAUCCAAAAAAGCAUUCUGACAUUCUUACAGGAAAAUGUACUUUGAUUUCAAACUAAAUUAACUAAUUUUUGAUUCCACAGACAUGGCGAUUCCCACCGGAGGUAUAAAGUUUUUGUGCAGGCAUUCUUUUGCAGGACAAUCAGAGGCCCAGCGUCAGGAAAGAGGAAUUGUGAUAAAGUGUCUCAUUAACUAUUACAUUUCUAAAAUAGGUUUCUCAUAGGAUGGAGAUGGAACAAUGGAAGGUGGUAAGGCUGUAUGGGGAGAAUUCUAAACGGACCAACGGGCUAAAAUUCUGUGCACAGACGAAAUUGAAAAUGGGGUCAAAAGCUUUAAUGUCUGUUUCUUGUGGGAGUGUUCAGUUAAUUUCAUUACAGGAUAUGAUUCCAUAUGACUGAAAGGAGCUUUUCGGGACCGAAGUCAACCUGCGGAAUUACAGGUAGCACAUGACAUUUGAUAUCUAAACGGUUGUCGUGUAAGUUUCAGGUUGUAUUGGAGACAUAAAAUUAGGAGAGUCCAAGAAUGUGAAGGGAGUCCACCGACCCCCAACCUCGAAGGAUGGGCGCUGAGGUCAUCAACAGACAGAUGUGGUGGGCCAGAGGUCAGGGGCCUUCACAUUCCAGGAGCCAUGUGUACCAGCCAACAGAGGGUUCAAGGGAACAACACAGGCCAGCCUUCGGGUCAGACUAGCUGACUGGAAGGGUUUUCAACUGCCACCCACCCGUGCCAUCCGGCGACGAGAGCUGCUUGACGCGCCGAUAGCCACUCAAAAGGGGCGAGGAGAAGACAUCUCUAAGACGCAAGACAUCAUGACAACAAUUGAAUGCAUUGUGUAAAAAAAAGGAAAAAGAAGUUUGUAAUCACUGCAUAUG
This is a long non-coding RNA of Fundulus heteroclitus (mummichog), 3225 nucleotides long. RefSeq lists it as uncharacterized. The record is from RefSeq and is a predicted model, not a curated record. NCBI's taxonomy places the organism in Eukaryota, Metazoa, Chordata, Actinopteri, Cyprinodontiformes, Fundulidae. The transcript has 3 exons.